CACAUGCAAGUCGAACGGCAGCGCGAGAGAGCUUGCUCUCUUGGCGGCGAGUGGCGGACGGGUGAGUAAUAUAUCGGAACGUGCCCAGUAGCGGGGGAUAACUACUCGAAAGAGUGGCUAAUACCGCAUACGCCCUACGGGGGAAAGGGGGGGAUCGCAAGACCUCUCACUAUUGGAGCGGCCGAUAUCGGAUUAGCUAGUUGGUGGGGUAAAGGCUCACCAAGGCAACGAUCCGUAGCUGGUUUGAGAGGACGACCAGCCACACUGGGACUGAGACACGGCCCAGACUCCUACGGGAGGCAGCAGUGGGGAAUUUUGGACAAUGGGGGAAACCCUGAUCCAGCCAUCCCGCGUGUAUGAUGAAGGCCUUCGGGUUGUAAAGUACUUUUGGCAGAGAAGAAAAGGUAUCCCCUAAUACGGGAUACUGCUGACGGUAUCUGCAGAAUAAGCACCGGCUAACUACGUGCCAGCAGCCGCGGUAAUACGUAGGGUGCAAGCGUUAAUCGGAAUUACUGGGCGUAAAGCGUGUGUAGGCGGUUCGGAAAGAAAGAUGUGAAAUCCCAGGGCUCAACCUUGGAACUGCAUUUUUAACUGCCGAGCUAGAGUAUGUCAGAGGGGGGUAGAAUUCCACGUGUAGCAGUGAAAUGCGUAGAUAUGUGGAGGAAUACCGAUGGCGAAGGCAGCCCCCUGGGAUAAUACUGACGCUCAGACACGAAAGCGUGGGGGAGCAAACAGGAUUAGAUACCCUGGUAGUCCACGCCCUAAACGAUGUCAACUAGCUGUUGGGGCCGUUAGGCCUUAGUAGCGCAGCUAACGCGUGAAGUUGACCGCCUGGGGAGUACGGUCGCAAGAUUAAAACUCAAAGGAAUUGACGGGGACCCGCACAAGCGGUGGAUGAUGUGGAUUAAUUCGAUGCAACGCGAAAAACCUUACCUACCCUUGACAUGUCUGGAAAGCCGAAGAGAUUUGGCCGUGCUCGCAAGAGAACCGGAACACAGGUGCUGCAUGGCUGUCGUCAGCUCGUGUCGUGAGAUGUUGGGUUAAGUCCCGCAACGAGCGCAACCCUUGUCAUUAGUUGCUACGCAAGAGCACUCUAAUGAGACUGCCGGUGACAAACCGGAGGAAGGUGGGGAUGACGUCAAGUCCUCAUGGCCCUUAUGGGUAGGGCUUCACACGUCAUACAAUGGUCGGGACAGAGGGUCGCCAACCCGCGAGGGGGAGCCAAUCUCAGAAACCCGAUCGUAGUCCGGAUCGCAGUCUGCAACUCGACUGCGUGAAGUCGGAAUCGCUAGUAAUCGCGGAUCAGAAUGUCGCGGUGAAUACGUUCCCGGGUCUUGUACACACCGCCCGUCACACCAUGGGAGUGGGUUUCACCAGAAGUAGGUAGCCUAACCGUAAGGAGGGCGC
This 1407-nucleotide ribosomal RNA is filed under the name Alcaligenes faecalis. Its description in RNAcentral is "bacterial SSU rRNA". It matches the Rfam family "Bacterial small subunit ribosomal RNA". Lineage: Bacteria; Pseudomonadati; Pseudomonadota; Betaproteobacteria; Burkholderiales; Alcaligenaceae. The record is from RNAcentral.